UACGUAGGGUGCGAGCGUUGUCCGGAAUUAUUGGGCGUAAAGAGCGUGUAGGCGGCUUGGUAGGUCUCGCGUCAAAACCUGAGGCUCAACCUCAGUUCGCGUGGGAAACCACCUAGCUAGAGUCCGGAAGAGGAGAACGGAAUUCCCAGUGUAGCGGUGAAAUGCGCAGAUAUUGGGAAGAACACCAGUGGCGAAGGCGGCACUCUGGGCCAGUACUGACACUGAGGAGCGAAAGCGUGGGUAGCGAACAGG
Molecule: ribosomal RNA, 252 nt
Filed under: uncultured bacterium
Lineage: Bacteria
Description: partial 16S ribosomal RNA
Rfam family: Bacterial small subunit ribosomal RNA
Source: RNAcentral